RNAcentral lists this ribosomal RNA (301 nucleotides) under uncultured bacterium. Its description in RNAcentral is "partial 16S ribosomal RNA". It matches the Rfam family "Bacterial small subunit ribosomal RNA", at positions 509 to 807 of the family's 1533-position model. The record is from RNAcentral.
CAGUCGCCGCGGUAAUACGGAGGGGGCUAGCGUUGUUCGGAAUUACUGGGCGUAAAGCGCACGUAGGCGGCUUGGUAAGUUAGAGGUGAAAGCCCGGAGCUCAACUCCGGAAUUGCCUUUAAGACUGCCGAGCUAGCAGGUGAGAGAGGUAAGUGGAAUUCCGAGUGUAGAGGUGAAAUUCGUAGAUAUUCGGAAGAACACCAGUGGCGAAGGCGGCUUACUGGCUCAUACUGGACGCUGAGGUGCGAAAGCGUGGGGAGCAAACAGGAUUAGAUACCCGUGUAGUCCCUGUCUCUUAUAC